RNAcentral lists this ribosomal RNA (116 nucleotides) under Pteropus alecto (black flying fox). Lineage: Eukaryota; Metazoa; Chordata; Mammalia; Chiroptera; Pteropodidae. The record is from RNAcentral.
GUCUAUGGCCAUGCCAUCCUGAACAAGCCCAAUGUCUGAUCUCGGAAGCUAAGCAGGGGUGGGCCUGGUUAGUACUUGGAUGGGAGACCACCUAGGGAGACCAGGUGCUGUAGGCA